GAUACCCUGGUAGUCCACGCAGUAAACGAUGAAUACUAGCUGUCCGGGGCGAAUGGGCCCUGGGUGGCACAGCGAAAGCGUUAAGUAUUCCACCUGGGGAGUACGCCGGCAACGGUGAAACUCAAAGGAAUUGACGGGGGCCCGCACAAGCGGAGGAACAUGUGGUUUAAUUCGAUGAUACGCGAGGAACCUUACCCGGGCUCAAACGACACAGGAACGGUCCUGAAAGGGGUCGGCUCUACGGAGCCUGUGUCGAGGUGCUGCAUGGUUGUCGUCAGCUCGUGCCGUGAGGUGUCGGCUUAAGUGCCAUAACGAGCGCAACCCCCAUCGACAGUUGCUAACAGGUUAGGCUGAGGACUCUGUCGAGACUGCCGGCGCAAGCUGCGAGGAAGGCGGGGAUGACGUCAAAUCAGCACGGCCCUUACGUCCGGGGCGACACACGUGUUACAAUGGGUGGCACAGAGGGAAGCCAGGUGGCGACACCGAGCGGAACCCGAAAUCCACUCUCAGUUCGGAUCGGAGUCUGCAACCCGACUCCGUGAAGCUGGAUUCGCUAGUAAUCGCGCAUCAGCCAUGGCGCGGUGAAUACGUUCCCGGGCCUUGUACACACCGCCCGUCAAGCCAUGGAAGCCGGGAGUGCCUGAAGUGUGCAACCGCAAGGAGCGCCCUAAGGUAAAACCGGUGACUGGGGCUAAGUCGUAACAAGGUAAC
RNAcentral lists this ribosomal RNA (711 nucleotides) under uncultured bacterium. Its description in RNAcentral is "bacterial SSU rRNA". It matches the Rfam family "Bacterial small subunit ribosomal RNA", at positions 781 to 1500 of the family's 1533-position model. The record is from RNAcentral.